CGAGAGGACCGGAGUGGACGUACCUCUGGUGUUCCGGUUGUCACGCCAGUGGCACUGCCGGGUAGCUAAGUACGGAAGGGAUAACCGCUGAAAGCAUCUAAGCGGGAAGCCCCCCCCAAGAUGAGGUCUCCCCGGACCCUCGAGGUCCCUGAAGGGCCGUCGAAGACUACGACGUUGAUAGGCCGGGUGUGGAAGCGCAGCAAUGCGUGCAGCUAACCGGUACUAAUUGCCCGUGAGGCUUGACCAU
RNAcentral lists this ribosomal RNA (247 nucleotides) under Gammaproteobacteria bacterium. Its description in RNAcentral is "partial 23S ribosomal RNA". It matches the Rfam family "Bacterial large subunit ribosomal RNA", at positions 2684 to 2925 of the family's 2925-position model. The record is from RNAcentral. Lineage: Bacteria; Pseudomonadati; Pseudomonadota; Gammaproteobacteria.